This is a long non-coding RNA of Phycodurus eques (leafy seadragon), 397 nucleotides long. RefSeq lists it as uncharacterized. The record is from RefSeq and is a predicted model, not a curated record. The transcript has 3 exons. Lineage: Eukaryota; Metazoa; Chordata; Actinopteri; Syngnathiformes; Syngnathidae.
GGUCUGGUUCCUCCGAUAGGGAGGAAGAAAAACAGCCUGCUUGUCAGACAAGAUGCGCAGCUCGCUCCUUCAAAAGCAGCACAAAGAAUCUCAUCCUGGCUGCCAUAGCUUUAGCCUCAAGCCAACUGCUGGUAAUUGGGUGAGCAGUGAUGUGAAUGCUGAUUUGGACGACGACAUCAACCAUUCAUCCCACGUUGUCUUGCACCAGCAUGAAAAUCAAUGGACAGAAAAAAAAACAUUUUCAAGUCUACAAAUACGAUUCCAAAACAGAACUUUAAGCACAACUCAACUGGUAAGAAAGACAGGAUAAUAGAGUGACAAAGAGCUUUAAAAAUCAAAAACGAGGCGCAGAAUUUUUAUGCGCCGCACCGGGAACAGUAAGGAGCUUCUAAGCACA